GACGGAGGGGGCUAGCGUUGUUCGGAAUGACUGGGCGUAAAGGGCGCGUAGGCGGUUUUUUAAGUGAGGCGUGAAAGCCCUGGGCUUAACCCAGGAGGUGCGUUUCAUACUGGAAAGCUUGAGUACGAGAGAGGAAAGUGGAAUUCCUAGUGUAGAGGUGAAAUUCGUAGAUAUUAGGAAGAACACCAGUGGCGAAGGCGACUUUCUGGCUCGUAACUGACGCUGAGGCGCGAAAGCGUGGGGAGCAAAC
This 250-nucleotide ribosomal RNA is filed under the name uncultured bacterium. RNAcentral's name for it is "partial 16S ribosomal RNA". It matches the Rfam family "Bacterial small subunit ribosomal RNA", at positions 524 to 773 of the family's 1533-position model. The record is from RNAcentral.